RNAcentral lists this ribosomal RNA (227 nucleotides) under Enterobacter bugandensis. RNAcentral's name for it is "partial 23S ribosomal RNA". It matches the Rfam family "Bacterial large subunit ribosomal RNA", at positions 1 to 220 of the family's 2925-position model. The record is from RNAcentral. Lineage: Bacteria; Pseudomonadati; Pseudomonadota; Gammaproteobacteria; Enterobacterales; Enterobacteriaceae.
GGGUUGUGAGGUUAAGCGACUAAGCGUACACGGUGGAUGCCCUGGCAGUCAGAGGCGAUGAAGGACGUGCUAAUCUGCGAAAAGCGACGGCGAGGUGAUAUGAACCUUUGACCCGUCGAUGUCCGAAUGGGGAAACCCAGUGUGUUUCGACACACUAUCGUUAACUGAAUACAUAGGUUAACGAGGCGAACCGGGGGAACUGAAACAUCUAAGUACCCCGAGGAAAA